Molecule: ribosomal RNA, 714 nt
Filed under: uncultured Corynebacterium sp.
Lineage: Bacteria; Bacillati; Actinomycetota; Actinomycetes; Mycobacteriales; Corynebacteriaceae
Description: bacterial SSU rRNA
Rfam family: Bacterial small subunit ribosomal RNA
Source: RNAcentral
AACGGAAAGGCCCUGCUUGCAGGGUACUCGAGUGGCGAACGGGUGAGUAACACGUGGGUGAUCUGCCCUGCACUUCGGGAUAAGCUUGGGAAACUGGGUCUAAUACCGGAUAGGAGCCAUCUUUAGUGUGGUGGUUGGAAAGUUUUUUCGGUGUAGGAUGAGCUCGCGGCCUAUCAGCUUGUUGGUGGGGUAAUGGCCUACCAAGGCGGCGACGGGCAGCCGGCCUGAGAGGGUGUACGGCCACAUUGGGACUGAGAUACGGCCCAGACUCCUACGGGAGGCAGCAGUGGGGAAUAUUGCACAAUGGGCGCAAGCCUGAUGCAGCGACGCCGCGUGGGGGAUGAAGGCCUUCGGGUUGUAAACUCCUUUCGCUAGGGACGAAGCUUUUUUGUGACGGUACCUAGAUAAGAAGCACCGGCUAACUACGUGCCAGCAGCCGCGGUAAUACGUAGGGUGCGAGCGUUGUCCGGAAUUACUGGGCGCAAAGGGCUCGUAGGUGGUUUGUCGCGUCGUCUGUGAAAUUCUGGGGCUUAACUCCGGGCGUGCAGGCGAUACGGGCAUAACUUGAGUGCUGUAGGGGUAACUGGAAUUCCUGGUGUAGCGGUGAAAUGCGCAGAUAUCAGGAGGAACACCGAUGGCGAAGGCAGGUUACUGGGCAGUUACUGACGCUGAGGAGCGAAAGCAUGGGUAGCGAACAGGAUUAGAUACCCUGGU